AUGUACAGUCUCCGUUGGUGAACCAGCGGAGGGA
RNAcentral lists this ribosomal RNA (34 nucleotides) under [Chrysosporium] synchronum. RNAcentral's name for it is "partial 18S ribosomal RNA". Lineage: Eukaryota; Fungi; Ascomycota; Sordariomycetes; Sordariales. The record is from RNAcentral.